AACAGCUCGACCUCUGCUGCUGCAGUCCUGUGUUCUACUAUUUCUCUGAUCAUCUUGUUUUUCUCCUGUGUCUCAUAGGAAGUGAUUCUGCCGGAGUUUCUGUGGUUUUUAAGUCUCCUGUCGUGUUCAGAUGAACAUGGAAAUUCAAGCCUCAAAACCUUGGCCGUGAGUCUCCUUUCUGCCUCCUUCCCGGACCCAGGUUUCUGAAAAUAACUUUCUAUCAAGCUUCUGAGAACCUUCCACCUGCCUGUCCACCCUCCCACGGAUCAUCGUCCCUCCAUGGGAUCCACUGAAUGGAGUUAAGCACAAAGUCAAAAGAACAAGGAAGUACUUUUCCCCGCUGCUGCGCCCUCCUGUCAACCUCAGCCAUUGUGUGAGAUGCCUAUCCUGUCCACUGACCCAGUCCGGAUUCCAGAACGAACCAACGUCUGUGAAUACACUUUAAACGUUGCCUUGGUUUCCUCGUGAUUGUGUUAAUCAGAGUCUUAAAACAACCCAUUAUGACACACUCUGUAUUUUUCUCCAAAAAUCUAUACAUUUCUGUUUAACAAUGCCUGAUUAGUAAGUUAAAUUUUAAAACUUGGGGCCUUUAUUUAAAAAAAAAAAAAAGUUGGGCAAAAAAGACUGCCUAUGAUUAAAGAGUUCAAUAAUUUUAUGAAACAAAACAUUAAAUAUGCAAAUUUUAUGUUCCUAGAUUAAACAAAGUUGGUUUUUAACCAUUUUACCUUUUUCUCUGACUAGGUCAUAUUAGUAGUGUUGUGUGCUGUCUGGGUUCAAGCACAUAUCCAAUAACCUCUGUGAUCUAAUCUUUAGUUUUUUAAUAACUCCCUCUCAUCCAGUGUGUGUGUGUGGAGCACAUCUCUGCUCCAUCUUAAUGUAACGAAACUCGUAAGCCUCUUUAAAAAUGAACUCCAGUUUUUCACCUUGGAACCUCUUUUGAUAUAUAAAAUGUUUUUUCAGUCCACAUAAUGGACUGAUGACUUGGAGAAAGUCGGCAGUUCUUAAUACUUGAUUCUUAAG
Molecule: long non-coding RNA, 1020 nt
Organism: Girardinichthys multiradiatus
Lineage: Eukaryota; Metazoa; Chordata; Actinopteri; Cyprinodontiformes; Goodeidae
Exons: 2
Source: RefSeq, a predicted model, not a curated record